Molecule: unclassified non-coding RNA, 354 nt
Filed under: soil metagenome
Description: partial contains 5.8S ribosomal RNA, internal transcribed spacer 2, and large subunit ribosomal RNA
Rfam family: 5.8S ribosomal RNA (bases 1-119)
Source: RNAcentral
GAUGAAGAACGUAGCGAAAUGCGAUAAGUAAUGCGAAUUGCAGAAUCCGUGAGUCAUCGAAUCUUUGAACGCACAUUGCGCCCUUUGGUAUUCCGAAGGGCAUGCCUGUUCGAGCGUCAUUAUCACCACUCAAGCCCGGCUUGUUGUUGGUGGCAGCGCAGCCGGUCAACCGGCUACGCUCCACCCAAAGAUAAUGACGGCGUCUGCGAGGACUCCUGUACAUUGAGCUUUCGGGCACGUACAUGGCUAGAAGUCCAGGCGCCGGUCGACGUCCUCCGGGACACUUUUUACCAAGGUUGACCUCGGAUCAGGUAGGGAUACCCGCUGAACUUAAGCAUAUCAAUAAGCGGAGGA